Molecule: ribosomal RNA, 429 nt
Filed under: Gemmatimonadota bacterium
Lineage: Bacteria; Pseudomonadati; Gemmatimonadota
Description: Gemmatimonadetes bacterium partial 16S ribosomal RNA
Rfam family: Bacterial small subunit ribosomal RNA
Source: RNAcentral
UAGGGAAUCUUCGGCAAUGGACGAAAGUCUGACCGAGCAACGCCGCGUGAGUGAAGAAGGUUUUCGGAUCGUAAAACUCUGUUGUUAGAGAAGAACAAGGACGUUAGUAACUGAACGUCCCCUGACGGUAUCUAACCAGAAAGCCACGGCUAACUACGUGCCAGCAGCCGCGGUAAUACGUAGGUGGCAAGCGUUGUCCGGAUUUAUUGGGCGUAAAGCGAGCGCAGGCGGUUUCUUAAGUCUGAUGUGAAAGCCCCCGGCUCAACAGGGAAGGGUGAUUGGAAACUGGGAGACUUAAGUGCAGAAGAGGAGAGUGGAAUUCGAGGUGUAGCAGUGAAAGGCGUAGAUAUAUGGAGAAACACCAGUGGCGAAGGCGGCUCUCUGAUCUGUAACUGACGCUGAGGCUCGAAAGCGUGGGGAGCAAACAGG